This is a non-coding RNA of Zootermopsis nevadensis, 1438 nucleotides long. NCBI's taxonomy places the organism in Eukaryota, Metazoa, Arthropoda, Insecta, Blattodea, Termopsidae. The record is from RefSeq and is a predicted model, not a curated record.
ACCCCGGUCGUCCAGCCCGUAGCUAGUCACUGCACUGACUGAGCUAUCCCGGCUCAUAGCCGAUCUAGUGUAGGCGUUAAAAAUUACAACAGUAAGCUUCGUGUCACGGUUGACAACGGCGAGCAACUGACUCACAAGCAGCCACCAAAGUUGCUGCUGGGAUGGCUACACAAGACCCUUCAAUUUCUUACCAUAGCUUUGUGCCGUACAACACAUCUUUCAAGUAACCCCACAAGAAAGUCAGGUGCAGUUAAAUCUGUACCGUAAGUUUCAAAUUUAUCGCAAAUUAUUGUAUUUGUUAGUCAUUUUGGAGGCAUGGUUUCAGAUUUGCAUGUCAACUAUAUUUGCACUUCAAGCACAUUCCCAAAUUUCCAGUACGUCUUCAAAAUUAAGUUGUGUAGUUCGAACCUCAGUUGACCCUCUGGCAAUUUCGAUAUCUGAAUCAUGGGAAAAGGUAUUGGGUGCACCAUCUGUUAAGUGUAGACCACACUAGGUUCUCCUCAUAAAUAAAACACAUGGAGAUUUAUAACAUGGUUAGUGUUCUGUAUUGUAAUGUGUAUUCACCUAUUUUGGGAGACACUAUGCACGUGCAUGCGCACACAUUUACUCACACUGUAACAUUCAAACAUUCCUUCAUUCUAAAAUAAUUAAUAAUAUUUAAUGUUCAAUUUUCUUUAUCAUAAUGCAUAACAAAGACAUUAUAAAUCUCCCUAUUUUUAAAGAAAAGGUUCUUGUUAACGCCAACAUCAACUGCAGAAGAGGACGACUCUUUGUGGACUAUUCCUCUCACUUAUACAGUGCAGGACAGUAACUUUGAUGACACUUCUACCAAACAGUGGAUGAGAGGCUCUUCUCUGAAGAUCAACCGACCAACUGAAGAAAAUAAAUGGUUCAUCUUCAACCCGCAACAAAUAGGGUUCUAUCGAGUGAAUUAUGAUGAUAACAACUGGUAUCUCCUGAUAAACUACCUGGAGAGUGAGGGUUAUGAAAAGAUUGCUGCUGUUAAUAGAGCACAGCUAUUGGAUGAUGUCUUGAACUUGGCCCAAGCUGGUGUUCUAAAAUACAGCACUGCUUUGGAACUGACCCAGUACAUGGAAAAAGAGGCGGAUUAUAUUCCCUGGUACUCGGCUCUCAACGCCUUUUCAUUCCUAAAUCUUCGACUGACAGGCACUGAUAUUUAUCCUCUCUUUCAGAUCAUUUCUCACAAGUCACUGCAUCUAAAAUCUCACCAUGAUCAUAGGAAUACCUCUGGAAAUUGAUUCAGAAUGUGUAUGAGGAGCUAGCGUUUGAAGAAAGUGAUGCUGAUAGUCAUGUGACCCAACUUCACUGCAGCUUGAUCAUUCAGUGGGCAUGCAACUUGGAGCAUGAGCACUGUAUUGAAACAGCCAAACAAAAAUUUAGCACCGUAUAUAAUGGAAUAAUGAACAACUGACCAAAA